GGAGGAUCCAAGCGUUAUCCGGAAUCAUUGGGUUUAAAGGGUCCGUAGGCGGUUUAAUAAGUCAGUGGUGAAAGCCCAUCGCUCAACGGUGGAACGGCCAUUGAUACUGUUAGACUUGAAUUAUUAGGAAGUAACUAGAAUAUGUAGUGUAGCGUGAAAUGCUUAGAGAUUACAUGGAAUACCAAUUGCGAAGGCAGGUUACUACUAAUGGAUUGACGCUGAUGGACGAAAGCGUGGGUAGCGAACAGGAUUAGAUACCCUGGUAGUCCACGCCGUAAACGAUGGAUACUAGCUGUUGGGAGCAAUCUCAGUGGCUAAGCGAAAGUGAUAAGUAUCCCACCUGGGGAGUACGUUCGCAAGAAU
This 363-nucleotide ribosomal RNA is filed under the name uncultured bacterium. RNAcentral describes it as "bacterial SSU rRNA". It matches the Rfam family "Bacterial small subunit ribosomal RNA", at positions 527 to 895 of the family's 1533-position model. The record is from RNAcentral.